Molecule: ribosomal RNA, 165 nt
Filed under: Veronica albicans
Lineage: Eukaryota; Viridiplantae; Streptophyta; Magnoliopsida; Lamiales; Plantaginaceae
Description: 5.8S ribosomal RNA
Rfam family: 5.8S ribosomal RNA
About the family: 5.8S ribosomal RNA (5.8S rRNA) is a component of the large subunit of the eukaryotic ribosome. It is transcribed by RNA polymerase I as part of the 45S precursor that also contains 18S and 28S rRNA. Functionally, it is thought that 5.8S rRNA may be involved in ribosome translocation.
Source: RNAcentral
UAAACGACUCUCGGCAACGGAUAUCUCGGCUCUCGCAUCGAUGAAGAACGUAGCGAAAUGCGAUACUUGGUGUGAAUUGCAGAAUCCCGUGAACCAUCGAGUCUUUGAACGCAAGUUGCGCCCGAAGCCUCCUGGCCGANGGCACGCCUGCCUAGGCGUCACGCA